UGAUUUAGUUAAGCUAGUUAUAACACUGUUGUAGUACUCACUCUGUUACCCUGGUGAUUUAGUUUAGCUAGUUAUAACACUGUUACCCUGGUGAUUUAGUUAAGCUAGUUAUAACACUGUUACCCUGGUGAUUUAGUUAAGCUAGUUAUAACACUGUUACCCUGGUGAUUUAGUUAAGCUAGUUAUAACACUGUUGCAGUACUCACUCUGUUACCCUGGUGAUUUAGUUAAGCUAGUUAUAACACUGUUACCCUGGUGAUUUAGUUAAGCUAGUUAUAACACUGUUACCCUGGUGAUUUAGUUAAGCUAGUUAUAACACUGUUACCCUGGUGAUUUAGUUUAGCUAGUUAUAACACUGUUGUAGUACUCACUCUGUUACCCUGGUGAUUUAGUUUAGCUAGUUAUAACACUGUUACCCUGGUGAUUUAGUUAAGCUAGUUAUAACACUGUUGCAGUACUCACUCUGUUACCCUGGUGAUUUAGUUUAGCUAGUUAUAACACUGUUACCCUGGUGAUUUAGUUAAGCUAGUUAUAACACUGUUGCAGUACUCACUCUGUUACCCUGGUGAUUUAGUUUAGCUAGUUAUAACACUGUUACCCUGGUGAUUUAGUUAAGCUAGUUAUAACACUGUUACCCUGGUGAUUUAGUUAAGCUAGUUAUAACACUGUUGUAGUACUCACUCUGUCCCUCCAGAGGCAGGCAUGGCUGGGUAUGGUGAGUUCCUGUGUAACAGAACCUGCUCCUAGAUCCUUUAUGGGUCAGCGUACCCUGGUCUCUCCCUGGUUCUGGGUUUGGAUGUUGGGUUUGGGUCGGAGUCCUGGGCCUAGUUAAAGAGUCCUGGGUCUUAGGUGUUGGAUGUUGGGUCCUGGGUCUAGUCCUGAGUCUUUAGUUCUGGUCUCUCCUGUAUAUCUCUGAGGUAGAGCUCAGUAGUUUGGUCUUCUCUCUCUGCAGACGGUGUUCUCAGUGGCUGGGGGUCAGGUCUGUCUAGGGAAAGUCCCUCUCAAUGCCUCCCUCCCCCCUUGUUGAGCGUCUCUCCUCCCUCCCUCCUCGUCCCACCUCCUCCCCCACCCUUCACAUACUCUGG
Molecule: long non-coding RNA, 1085 nt
Filed under: Salmo salar (Atlantic salmon)
Lineage: Eukaryota; Metazoa; Chordata; Actinopteri; Salmoniformes; Salmonidae
Description: lncRNA (ENSSSAG00000097817.1)
Source: RNAcentral